GAUGAACGCUAGCGACAGGCCUAACACAUGCAAGUCGAGGGGCAGCACGGUGUAGCAAUACACGGGUGGCGACCGGCGCACGGGUGAGUAACGCGUAUGCAACCUGCCUACUACAAGGGGAUAGCCCGUUGAAAGACGGACUAAUACCCUAUAACACAGGGAAUCCGCAUGGAUAUAUUUGUUAAAGAUUUAUCGGUAGUAGAUGGGCAUGCGUUCCAUUAGCUUGUUGGUGAGGUAACGGCUCACCAAGGCAACGAUGGAUAGGGGAACUGAGAGGUUGAUCCCCCACACUGGAACUGAGACACGGUCCAGACUCCUACGGGAGGCAGCAGUGAGGAAUAUUGGUCAAUGGACGAGAGUCUGAACCAGCCAAGUCGCGUGAAGGAAGACGGCCCUACGGGUUGUAAACUUCUUUUGUAAGGGAAUAAAUAGUCUUACGCGCUAAGACGUUGCAGGUACCUUACGAAUAAGGAUCGGCUAACUCCGUGCCAGCAGCCGCGGUAAU
This 505-nucleotide ribosomal RNA is filed under the name uncultured bacterium. RNAcentral describes it as "bacterial SSU rRNA". It matches the Rfam family "Bacterial small subunit ribosomal RNA", at positions 28 to 524 of the family's 1533-position model. The record is from RNAcentral.